AUUGAACGCUGGCGGCAGGCUUAACUCAUGCAAGUCGAGCGGAGAUGAGGUGCUUGCACCUUAUCUUAGCGGCGGACGGGUGAGUAAUGCUUAGGAAUCUGACUAUUAGUGGGGGACAACAUUCCGAAAGGAAUGCUAAUACCGCCUACGUCCUACGGGAGAAGGCAGGGGAUCUUCGGACCUUGCGAUAAUAGAUGAGCCUAAGUCGGAUUAGCUAGUUGGUGGGGUAAAGGCCUACCAAGGCGACGAUCUGUAGCGGGUCUGAGAGGAUGAUCCACCAGCCUGGGACUGAUACACGGCCCAGACUCCUACGGGAGGCAGCAGUGGGGAAUAUUGGACAAGGGGGGUAACCCUGAUCCAGCCAUGCCGCGUGUGUGAAGAAGGCCUUAUAGUUGUAAAGCACUUUAAGCGAGGAGGAGGCUACUGAGACUAAUACUCUUGGAUAGUGGACGUUACUCGCAGAAUAAGCACCGGCUAACUCUGUGCCAGCAGCCGCCGUAA
This 501-nucleotide ribosomal RNA is filed under the name uncultured bacterium. RNAcentral's name for it is "partial 16S ribosomal RNA". It matches the Rfam family "Bacterial small subunit ribosomal RNA", at positions 30 to 523 of the family's 1533-position model. The record is from RNAcentral.